This is a long non-coding RNA of Sitophilus oryzae (rice weevil), 393 nucleotides long. RefSeq lists it as uncharacterized. The record is from RefSeq and is a predicted model, not a curated record. The transcript has 3 exons. Lineage: Eukaryota; Metazoa; Arthropoda; Insecta; Coleoptera; Curculionidae.
ACUAAACAGUUGUUUUUUAUUAAAAAAUAGCAGACAAAGAAAUUAUACCAUCCAGCCCUCCUAUUUAAUUAUUAAAUAAAAGUGUGAAAGAGAUAUCAAGGGCUAUUCUGUUAAAAUGUCAUCCGACCAGUCUAGGCCCUGUUGUGAACCAGAAGGUGUGCUAAGUUGGAUGUUGGAUAUAGAAUGGAAGGAAUAUCAUGGCCGAGAACAAGGCAUAAUUGUAUGUCCCUUGAUGUAGGGGGGCCUGUAAAGGUAAAUAAUUCCUGGAGCCAUCUCGAGGUAUAGUACUCAAGUCGGAGCGAAUCAAUUGAUAGCACGAUGAAAAGAAAUAAUAGCCAGCAUAAAACUGUAAAUAUGUAUAUAACUAGUACUAUGUAGCUAUUUAACUGUAAG